AAAUAAUCAGUUCACACAGAGACCACGGUCUUCUUUAGGAUUCACUAGGUUUAUCACAGGAGCAGGCAACAGCAAAGCAAACUAUGCCAAAAAAGUUUUCUAUGCUACUGGUUUCAAAAGACAACUGGAGACUCAGAGCUGCAGGAGACCUUGAAGAAGAGGCAGGAGAGGAUUGAUUCUGGCAGCAAAGAAAGAGCCUGCAUGUGUGCCCACAACAACAAAGCCACGUGGUCUGUGUUUAUUCAGCUGUUUAAUGAAUGACUUUGUCUGACAUAUAGCCAAUUAUUUUUGUUUUACUCUAGUCCUCCUAGCCAGUAACAGAAGUCCUUUUUUAUUAUUUAAGUAUUAAUAUAAAUAAUGUUCCGGUUUUAAUAAGAAGUCAACAAUAAUUAAAUAAUCCUGCAUGAAGUUAUUGUCUAUAAUAGUGCAAUGCUGUCAUUACAUUUACUCAUUUGGCACUUUUAUCCAAAGCCACUUAUUUGAGGAGGAGGACAGCUAGUCAUCAAUCAUGACACCCAAGUCUGCAUGGUAGGAGAAACCAUGCAAGUAAAUGAUUGGCCCCAGUGUGGUGGUGUAAAUUGAGAAAAGAAGAGGCCUUAGCCAUGAGCCUUUGGACACCCCAGUGGAGAGACAGUGAGAGGAGGAAAUAUGUCUUUGCCAAGACACAUUGUAGGAAAUCCCAGAGAGGGCAGAGUUGUGGGCUGCAUCUCUGGUAGCUGGGCGUGUCUCCCCAGCUGCAGGCAAUCGGCGUUUCACACACCUGUCUCCUGUGAUCAUCAGGACUGGUUUAUACCCUGCUAUCUCCUCAGUUUCCCGCUGGAUUAUUAAGUCUUGUUUGUAGGUAACGCUACGGCCUGCUUAACCUGCCUCCUGUUACCCUGUACCAGUUUUUGACUCUGUUUUUUCUUGUGCCCUGCUUUGGUGUUUUGGAGACCCUGCUCUGCUCUUGUGUCGCUCAGUCACGGAGAAAGCCUGGCUGGAGAUUUCCCCACCGCAGUCUCACUUUUCUGUCAGCCCUGUUACCUGCCUUGCCUGGCCCUGGCACUUACCUGCCCCGCGACAUCGGAGGAACCUUACCCCCAGCAUCGAGCCAAAUCAAACCAUAUCUUGAUCUUGUAUUCAAUAAACCGUGUGAAUAUCCUUUUAA
Micropterus salmoides (largemouth bass) is the source of this 1147-nucleotide long non-coding RNA. RefSeq lists it as uncharacterized. The record is from RefSeq and is a predicted model, not a curated record. The transcript has 3 exons. Lineage: Eukaryota; Metazoa; Chordata; Actinopteri; Centrarchiformes; Centrarchidae.